Choloepus didactylus (southern two-toed sloth) is the source of this 1990-nucleotide long non-coding RNA. RefSeq lists it as uncharacterized. Lineage: Eukaryota; Metazoa; Chordata; Mammalia; Pilosa; Megalonychidae. The record is from RefSeq and is a predicted model, not a curated record. The transcript has 2 exons.
GAGCCGAGGUUGGGGGGACGGGGUGAUGGUGCCCUCUGGAAUGAGUAUGAGCUGGGGACUGAGGAGACCUGGAUGUGGGGUGCGGAGCGCUGUGGCGGGAAGAUCCAGGCCGAGUUUUGCCUGCUCCAGGAGGGAAGCUAGAAGCCAGAGUGAGGGGCUGAGCAGUAAGGUGGGCACUUUAGGAGACAGAGGUGGUGGAGAGAGACUCUGAGCAUUGGAAUAACAAGGCAAAGGGAACCCAGCUGCAACCAGCAGAACCGGCACCCUAAGGUGAGCCCCUUGGAUUCUUGCCCGAUUUUCUUCGGCUAUUUACGCGCCUAUCUCGGCCUCUGUGGUCCUUACCUAUGAGGUGGGCAGCCGGGAACCUGGGGCUGAGAUCUGUUUCUUCAUCCUCCUGUUUCUCCUCCCCUUCCUCCUCCUCCUCCUCUUCUUCCACCUCCUCCGGCAGCUCUUGGGACCCUGGAAUGGUGAAGAGUCCAUGAUCGGGGGUGGGUGGUCACCCAUGCAUGGACCUGAGAGGACAGAGGACGAGGGCCCAGGAAUGGGGGGCCUGGAUUUCUGGAGGAGGAGGCUAUCUGGAGAUGAGGAUGGGAGGUGGGGAUCCGUCCGGCAGGGAGGGAAGGCUGCUCUUACCCAGUUGUUGCUGGGUGUGUCCCCCUCGGUCAGUGGUCUCCGUUACCUGGGUGGGUGGGGUCACAGUGCCCAGAGUUCAGAUUCAACUCGUGUCCAUCAUGUCCCUCCCAACAUGGACCCGAGCUCCAGGUCUCGGGUUUCCCCCCAGCCUGACCUCCAACACCCAUCUGCCUGGGAGGAAGAGCAAGCAACGCAGAGAGACCAAAGCCUGAGCUGUGUUUGAGGAAGAAGAGGGGAGAGGCACAAAUAACCGGGAGGGGGUCUGGAAACAUCAGGAUGAAACAGCAUCACAGGAAUGUGGAAUGAAAUCCAGCUAAAGGACAGAAAAGACAUCCCCACCAAGGACAGAGGAGGCUGCUGUGCAGGAUGAGAUCCCUCUUGAGGGUGGGAAAGGCAAAGUCAAGCCACCCAGUGUUGGCAGCUGAAGGUGGCCUCAGUCUCACCACUGACUAGCUGAUUCACUGAGGGAUGGAGAUGAAGCAUUGCCUCCUUUCCUGGGAGGAGUAAAGACAGGAGAGAGAAGAGGCCUGCCCCCACCAUCAAGAAGCUUCACAAUCUAGGAUGAUCCCCAUCCAUUUGUAGGUGCUUAUUAAAUGUUGAUGAAUACAUGGGCAAAAGGACACAUGAACAAAUGAAUGAAUGAAUGAAUGAGCAAAACAAAGCAACAAGGAUCAAAUGAAUGGUAUAGGUAAGUAAUGCAUUAAGAACUGAACGGAGGAAAGACCAGUUCCUUGGAAGUUGCAGGUAGUUCAGAUCAUCUCCCCUUCUUGAUGACAUCUCCGUAUGUUCAGGGUAAUAAUAAUAAUAUUAUAAUAAUGGCUAAUAUACAAAGGGUACUUGGCAUGUGCCUUCGAUCGUUCUACACACUUGACAUAUAAUUACUCUUUUAAUCCUGGAAAAAAUUUAAAAAAACAAAAAACAAGCCCAAGGAGGAAACUGGGGUGCAGAGAAGUUAAGGAACUUUUGGAACUUCACAAAGCAAGUGGCAGAGCCAGGAUUUGAACUCAGGCAGUCUGGAUCCACAGCCAUGCAGUUUUAAAACUGAAUAUUCACUUAAGAUUUGUGCAUUUCACUAUAUGUAAAUUAUACUUUCCCCACACCCCUCAAAAAAGAAAUGAGGAAGCAAAUACUAAGUUUGAGUCAAUAAUAAGCAUGCUGAACCAUUUAGAGGUGAAAUGUACUGACGUUUGCAACUUUGAAAGGCAUCAAAAAAUGAGAUGGAUUGAUAAAAAUGUGGCAAGACAAAUAUAGCAAAACAUUAAUUGUAGAAUCUAAGCAGUAGGAAUAUGUUCCCUGUAUAAUUCUUUCAAUUUUUCUCCCUUUGAAUGUUUAAAUAUUAAAAUGUUAAAACAAUAAA